Molecule: ribosomal RNA, 433 nt
Filed under: uncultured bacterium
Lineage: Bacteria
Description: partial 16S ribosomal RNA
Rfam family: Bacterial small subunit ribosomal RNA
Source: RNAcentral
AACGAACGCUGGCGGCAGGCCUAACACAUGCAAGUCGAGCGCGCCCUUCGGGGUGAGCGGCGGACGGGUGAGUAACGCGUGGGAACGUGCCCUUUUCUACGUAAUAGCCUCGGGAAACUGAGAGUAAUACCGUAUACGCCCUUUGGGGGAAAGAUUUAUCGGAAAAGGAUCGGCCCGCGUUGGAUUAGGUAGUUGGUGGGGUAAUGGCCUACCAAGCCGACGAUCCAUAGCUGGUUUGAGAGGAUGAUCAGCCACACUGGGACUGAGACACGGCCCAGACUCCUACGGGAGGCAGCAGUGGGGAAUCUUAGACAAUGGGGGCAACCCUGAUCAAGCCAUGCCGCGUGAGUGAUGAAGGCCUUAGGGUUGUAAAGCUCUUUCAGCUGGGAAGAUAAUGACGGUACCAGCAGAAGAAGCCCCGGCUAACUCCGUG